This 631-nucleotide long non-coding RNA is filed under the name Homo sapiens (human). RNAcentral describes it as "HSALNT0396070". Lineage: Eukaryota; Metazoa; Chordata; Mammalia; Primates; Hominidae. The record is from RNAcentral.
GAAAACAGAGGUGGGGGUGUCUGGUGAAGUGGACCUUGCUGCCUGCCUAACAGACGAACUGCACCUGCCUGGGAGCCCUACCUCUUCAGUAUCUCCCCCAAACACGCCCAGACACCUAAGCAGAUAGGAAUGUCAAGAUCUUCAGUGAAAACUGCUGAGAAACUGUAAGAGACGCAAUCUAGCCAAGCAAGGCGGUGGUUCACACCUCUCAUCCCAGCUACUCGGGAGGCUGAGGCAGGAGUUUUGGUGAUGGAAGACAGCCACCAGGAAACCCUGCCGAAAGAAUGGGUCAGAUCAAUAAUCUGAGCGGUCCCAGUCCUCCUCCAAUGGCUGAUGGAUGAGGAAGGAAGUCACUCUGAAAACUCAGGUUUACACAACAUCUACUUGUACAAUCAAGCACACACUCUCAGGCUGCAUGAAGUACUGUCGCAGACAGGACUGCAAACCCUCUCAGGGGUGAGAAUGGCUGGCAGCAGUGCUCAGGAGAGGGAUGUGGCAGGAGUCAGCUCCUAGGAAGUGCCAGCGCCCACGCACCUGUGAGCUCCUGGAGUCUGACUCACCGGGUAAGUGAAUUCUUGUAAUUUCCACAAACAGCCCUGGGGUUCCCCUAAACCAGACCGUGAGCCUCUUG